GCAGACAUUACCUAUGCAUUAUGCACUGGGCACCUGGCGGAAUGUUGAGAUUCAGGGCGGAAGAGGAACACACUUAAGGAACUCAGACAGACAGGAGGCAAAUAUAGCAGCAAGUGACCCACCUUAAGAAUUGAGAAGAUCUGGCAGUCAAAACAUCUAUGGAAGGUGAAAAGAACAGUCUGAAUCAUUUCCCCUGUGAAUCUAGUGAGGACCAUUACAAAGCAACCUUAUUGGGGCGCCUGAGUGGCUCAGUGGGUUAAAGCCUCUGCCUUCGGCUCAGGUCAUGAUCCCAGAGUCCUGGGAUUGAGCCCUGCAUUGGGCUCUUUGCUCAGUGGGGAGCCUGCUUCCUCCUCUCUCUCUCUGCCUGCCUCUCUGCCUACUUCUGGUCUGUCAAAU
RNAcentral lists this long non-coding RNA (396 nucleotides) under Mustela putorius furo (domestic ferret). RNAcentral describes it as "lncRNA (ENSMPUG00000027573.1)". The record is from RNAcentral. Lineage: Eukaryota; Metazoa; Chordata; Mammalia; Carnivora; Mustelidae.